CCGCUAUUUAUCUUGUUCUUGCUUGUUCUUCGAUUGCUUGCAGGAACAAAGACCUUCGUGGUCAGGUUGAUCGUGCCCCCGCGUGAUCAAUAACCCUCUGGAGUUGGUGUAUCGAUUGCUAAGGCGCUGCCUGCUAGGCCGUAGUCGGAUCGUGAUAUGGACAUGCUAACCAUGGAUACAACCAUUAGAACCCUAAUUGUUGGUGUAUCUAAUAACAGUUAUAAUCAGGUGAAUUCGAUUACAAAAUGUUUUCAAUAUGUUACUUGCAAAGAGGCGGAGCUACUAUCUUGUGUAAUCUUAUUAUGUAGGCAUCUUAUUGAACUUUACAAGUCCAAAGUGAAGAUGAAGUGUGAUUGAUAGCCUCGAGGGUGUCCCGAUCUUUCGAUGAGAUACCUAAUUAUCGAUUUGGUAGGAGGUGACGUUGACGAUCCGACUACAACCUAGGAGGCAGCGCCUUAGCGAUCGAUACACCAACUCCAGAAGGUUAUUGAUCCCGCGGGGGCACGAUCAACCUGACCACGAAGGUCUUUGUUCCUGCAAGCAAUCGAAGAACAAGCAAGAACAAGAUGAAAAGCAAUCUGAAAUUGCGAAUAGGAGAUAUGAAGGUUCACGAAUCUGAAUACUCAAUAUAGUUGGAGUCUUGAUGACGGUAAAACAGGUGGUCUAACCGACACACGCGAUUACACGAAAGUAGCAAAGGCUAAACUUUAUCUAAUCAAAACCCAAGGCUCCAUGAGGGGGCUCAUGGGGUAUAAAUAGGAGGGGAACUAGGUGGUUUUCGGACAGGUCCUUGAGGGACUCCGAAACGGCCUAGGAAUCCUCCUAAAACACAACGAAAACAUCUAAAAAUUGGCUGGACCCUAUUACAUGGCCUUAGGCCCAAUAAAGCAAGGUUAUAACCCUCAUCUUUGGCCCAUAGAUACCCAUUGGAGGGAGAAUCCUCCACUUGGCCGAAAUCCCAUUGAUGAAGAGGAUGCGGCCUUCUUCUCAUCUCUCGUUAUGGCGGUUUCAAUGUUCUGAAAUCAUCACUUGAGCUAGCUCCCGCCACCUUGCUGCCACCUCCAUGGUUUGCUGUCCAACGCUGAUCCUUGAGGUGCAAGCUAGGUCCUUCAUUCCUAAAACACAUAAAAGAACCCAUCUUAGGCAGCAGCAUGUUCUCAUUAAUAUUAAAUGAAGUACCGAGGAACGAAAGUACCUGAUAAUUUAGUUGUCGUGCACGAGCUCUAGUAAUUGGUCCAUGUAUCUCCGGUACUUGAGGUGUAUGUGCUGUAGGGGCUGUGGUUGUAUCAUUAGUUGGGAUGUCCUCAUCAGUGAUAGCCUGCAAAGGGAGAUUCAAAGUGAAGCCUAUCAAGUCUGCUUUCGAACAAAUCAAACGGCACAUGAUUCGGAGCUUGCUAGAGAAAGAUAUCACGAAUUAAAGUUGAAUCCGAUUCGGGUCCGAGCUGUCAGGAGACCCAAAUUUGUUUUAAUCACCCAGGCCGCAUCCGGAGUCCAAAUCAAGCAAACAAGUACUUGUUGGAAAGGUAAUUACAAGACCUUUCCAACGGAUCUGGCCCCAUCAAGAGAUUGGACUCGUGCUGACCGUGACGGACGAAACAAGCUGACGGAUCUGUUUUUCUGUUUCCUAAAGAGUUGUAGUUUGUUAGGAAAGUUAGAGAUAGAGUUGGAUUUCGGCCUCCUUACUCAAGGUGGACGAAAAUAUCUCUCCCUCCUCCUAUUUAUACCCCAUGAGCCCCCCUAUGGAGCCUUGGGUUUUGUUUAGUUAAAAGUUAGCCAUUGCUACUACUUCGUGUAAUCGCGUGUGUCGGUUAGACCACAUGUUUUACCGCUUUCGGAACCCCAACUUAUCGUCUCGUUGAGACAUUGGUUUGAUAUAGUAUCUUCGCAAUUUUAGAUUGCAUCCGCUAUUUAUCUUGUUCUUGCUUGUUCUUCGAUUGCUUGCAGGAACAAAGACCUUCGUGGUCAGGUUGAUCGUGCCCCCGCGUGAUCAAUAACCCUCUGGAGUUGGUGUAUCGAUUGCUAAGGCGCUGCCUCCUAGGCUGUAGUCGGAUCGUCAACGUCACCUCCUACCCAAAUCGAGAGUUACCAAUCUCAUCGAAAGAUCGGGCCACCCGCACCCGUAUCACGUGGUAUCAGAGCUUAAGGUUGCUCGGUGAGAUUUUUCCAGUUUAUCUGUAGUUUAGAUCAGUUUUUACCUAUCGUCCAGAAAAAGCCAAAUAAAAAUUAGAAUUAGUUACCUUGUCCUAGAACCAAUCUGAGCCUUGCAAUUUUCACUUUAGUAUUUGCAUUGUUGAAUCUUUGCUGCAUUAAUCGUGUCGAGUUGCUGGAUUAGAUUGGAUCGUUUUUCAGAUUUUUUUCUACUAGAUCGAACUUGCUUUUGGUUUUCUUGUUCUUCGUGUGACGCAGGUUUCCUUCAUCAAUCUUCCGCCGCCAAACUUCCUGCCACACCACCGCCAUAAUCUUCCACCGCCACCAUAUCUUCCACCGAGUCCUUCUUGGAGUCCUACACCGAGUCCCUCUUGGAGUCCUACACCGAGUCCCUCAUCGAGUCCCUCAUCGAGUCCUACACCGAGUCCCUCUUCGAGUCUUACACCGAGUCCCUCUUCCAGUCCUACAUCGAGUCGGCAAAUUAUAGUUUUCAGCUGCGAGUUCGAGUCCGAGUCCAAUAAGGAGUGCUUUUGGAAAGUGUUUGAUCAUAGAUCGAAUUUUGUUUAGAGAUCAAGUUGUUCGGAAAGUUAAAAAAAAAGAAAGGAAAGAAAAAAAAAGAAAGAAAGAAAGAAAAAAAAAACAAAAAAACAGAGAAAGAGUUCGAGUCAGUUUCGGACCCGAGUCCGAGUAGAAUUUUAGUUUCGGGUGGGUUUGACCCGUGUUCAGUAAAACGGGCGUAUCUUUUGCGUACCAACUCGGAUUUGGACGUUCUUGGACUUUUUGGAAAGCUCACGACGAGGCGCAUCUGGAAAUAUCCAGGGCGAUGCCCUGCACUUUGACCCCCAAAUUCAGUUUGUAAGGUGGACUUUCUGAGCUUCCAAGUUUCUGCAUCCGUUUUCCGGCGUCGCUGCAGCCCGGUGUUUCUCAGUUUCCUCCACUGUCCGACAUCCGUUUUCAGUGAUCUUGCCCUUGCUAGAAAGCUUGUGUCGAUACGCUUCUAACCCAUAUUUUUCCAUAUUUUUCUGAAAUUUUCUUACUACAGCCUUUGCUGUUCUUCGACAGACCGACGUACAUUUCUCCGGUCCUUCUUUUGCGUGAGUUUCUGGGGUUAAAAAAAAAGAAAAAAAGAAGAAGAAGAAAAGAAUAAGAAGCCAAACAGAAGGCCACAAAAAGAAAAAAAAAAGAAAAAAAAUCCCAGGGAUUUACUUGUUGUGCCAUCUUUUGAUCUUUCUAUCCUAUCUUCUUCAGUAUCUAGGCUUAGAUUAUUUCUGUAAUUCGUUCUUAUCGACUCCAGCAGCUAGGACUAGCAUUAUUGAGCAUAUUUUCAACUUUGCAUUGAUGAUUUGAUUAUUUGCUAUUUCUUGCUACUCACAAAAGCCUCCAAGCUCCACAGAUUCUACACCUAGGUUGGUUUGUUACCGAGGCAUCGAUACAUUUAAUAUUCGGAGGGCUUGGUCACGCCGUUGGCCAUCACCUUUCUGUUUUGCAUGGUAAGAACACUUAAGAACUUGAUUUUUAGCUUGAGAGUUGAGCGACUUGUAGCCACAUCCUAGUAAUUGAUAGGAACAUAUUACUGUGAUUUGUUUCUUGUUUUCUACUAACCAUGACAGGACUUACACGAAGCAUGGCAACUAGACCGAUGCUAUCCCGCGACCGCGAUGAGUGCUUUUCACCACGGCCAUCCUCCACGUCUCUUGUUGAUAAUGCCAUGGCAACGGUACAAAACAAUCCUUCUAAUACAAUUAAAUUGUGUGUACCUUUCUUUGAGGGGGAAAAUGAUGCCGAGACGUAUAUAGAUUGGGAGCUAGAUUUAACUGCACAAUUCACAUGCUUCCAUGUACUUGAUAGUCGCAAGGUUCAAAUUGCUAGUAGUAAAUUUACUUUUGCUGCUUUAUCUUGGUGGAAUGAGAUAGUUAGUGAUACGGGUGCGGGUGGCCCGAUCUUUCGAUGAGAUUGGUAACUCUCGAUUUGGGUAGGAGGUGACGUUGACGAUCCGACUACGGCCUAGGAGGCAGCGCCUUAGCAAUCGAUACACCAACUCCAAAGGGUUAUUGAUCACGCGGGGGCACGAUCAACCUGACCACGAAGGUCUUUGUUCCUGCAAGCAAUCGAAGAACAAGCAAGAACAAGAUAAAUAGCGGAUGCAAUCUAAAAUUGCGAAUAUACUAUAUCAAACCAAAG
RNAcentral lists this long non-coding RNA (4329 nucleotides) under Brachypodium distachyon (stiff brome). RNAcentral's name for it is "long non-coding RNA (BDIS_LNC002139)". The record is from RNAcentral. Lineage: Eukaryota; Viridiplantae; Streptophyta; Magnoliopsida; Poales; Poaceae.